Molecule: ribosomal RNA, 808 nt
Filed under: Acinetobacter radioresistens
Lineage: Bacteria; Pseudomonadati; Pseudomonadota; Gammaproteobacteria; Moraxellales; Moraxellaceae
Description: bacterial SSU rRNA
Rfam family: Bacterial small subunit ribosomal RNA
Source: RNAcentral
UGGCGGCAGGCUUAACACAUGCAAGUCGAGCGGAUGAAAGUAGCUUGCUACUGGAUUCAGCGGCGGACGGGUGAGUAAUGCUUAGGAAUCUGCCUAUUAGUGGGGGACAACGUUCCGAAAGGAGCGCUAAUACCGCAUACGUCCUACGGGAGAAAGCAGGGGACCUUCGGGCCUUGCGCUAAUAGAUGAGCCUAAGUCGGAUUAGCUAGUUGGUAGGGUAAAGGCCUACCAAGGCGACGAUCUGUAGCGGGUCUGAGAGGAUGAUCCGCCACACUGGGACUGAGACACGGCCCAGACUCCUACGGGAGGCAGCAGUGGGGAAUAUUGGACAAUGGGGGGAACCCUGAUCCAGCCAUGCCGCGUGUGUGAAGAAGGCCUUUUGGUUGUAAAGCACUUUAAGCGAGGAGGAGGCUACCUAGAUUAAUACUUUAGGAUAGUGGACGUUACUCGCAGAAUAAGCACCGGCUAACUCUGUGCCAGCAGCCGCGGUAAUACAGAGGGUGCGAGCGUUAAUCGGAUUUACUGGGCGUAAAGCGUGCGUAGGCGGCCAAUUAAGUCAAAUGUGAAAUCCCCGAGCUUAACUUGGGAAUUGCAUUCGAUACUGGUUGGCUAGAGUAUGGGAGAGGAUGGUAGAAUUCCAGGUGUAGCGGUGAAAUGCGUAGAGAUCUGGAGGAAUACCGAUGGCGAAGGCAGCCAUCUGGCCUAAUACUGACGCUGAGGUACGAAAGCAUGGGGAGCAAACAGGAUUAGAUACCCUGGUAGUCCAUGCCGUAAACGAUGUCUACUAGCCGUUGGGGCCCUUGGGGCU